UGAACUCAAUUUUGUAUGCAGUUGGAACGUUUGCCUGCGUUUGCCGCUAGGGGCGCUGUUCUAACUGCAAAGAGAUUUGUGUUA
This 84-nucleotide microRNA precursor is filed under the name Bombyx mori (domestic silkworm). RNAcentral's name for it is "mir-2807 microRNA precursor family". It matches the Rfam family "mir-2807 microRNA precursor family". Lineage: Eukaryota; Metazoa; Arthropoda; Insecta; Lepidoptera; Bombycidae. The record is from Rfam by way of RNAcentral.